RNAcentral lists this long non-coding RNA (351 nucleotides) under Apteryx owenii (little spotted kiwi). Its description in RNAcentral is "lncRNA (ENSAOWG00000016060.1)". Lineage: Eukaryota; Metazoa; Chordata; Aves; Apterygiformes; Apterygidae. The record is from RNAcentral.
AGCAGCGGCAGCUUGGGAUCCAGCCCCACGCCGGCGGGAUUCGCCUGCAGCUGGUAAUCAGGAAUGACAGCUAUAAAGCAGCCCUGUGCAACACUUGGGAGACCUGCGCCUUGCUGGCACUUGGAGUGAAUUUUUUUCCAGUCCUCACACAUGGCAAGCACCCAGAGAACUUAUCGUCUGUCCUUUUUGUUAUGUAGCAGUCUGACAGCAAUAUCAGCUUUCAAGGCUUCAGUUGGAUUGAUGUUCAUGAGCAGAAGGUAACAAACUGCUUGGAAACAGGUCAUUCUGAAAUAGCUUCUCUUGGUUUGCCACCAAAAUAAAAUUGGACAAAAUAUUUGGAUAAAAUGUUUU